Molecule: long non-coding RNA, 1627 nt
Filed under: Ananas comosus (pineapple)
Lineage: Eukaryota; Viridiplantae; Streptophyta; Magnoliopsida; Poales; Bromeliaceae
Description: long non-coding RNA (ACOM_LNC029390)
Source: RNAcentral
AAAAAAUGAUAGCAGUUUUCUAUUAAGCUUUAUAAUAGACACAAAAGAGUAAGAUUGCAAUGUAUACAUGUUCGCAAGUGUAAACUUGAUAAAACUAUUCUAUUAAGCUCUAAGGCCCUGUUUGGAUCGCGGGAUAAGCGGGGAUAACGAAAGUUAUCCCUGCUAUUCUGCCAAACGGGGUGAAAUUUGGCCGGGAUAUUUUAUCCCGGUCAAACCUUGCUAUUCCCGGUUAUCCCGGAAUAGCAAGGGAUUUGCUAUUCCACCAUUUUGGUGGAACAGUGCUAUUCCAAUGCUUAAUCUCAAGCUUAAUUAAACUUAUAAAUUGAAUUAAACUAAAUUAAACUAAAUUAUAUAAAUAUAAUAUGUUAUAUAUUAUAAUACAUUAUUUUUAUUAUAAAAUUAUUAAUUGUACUAUAUUAAUACAUAUUAUUUAUAUUUAAAUAUUAUAAUAAAAUAUUUAAAAAUUUAAAUUCAAAUAUAAUAAGUGGAUAAUAUCAUUAUUUUUUAUUUACAAAACCCAUUAUCUUUCUUAUUCCAUCUUACCUAACCAAACGCUAUUUUUUUUAUUCCAGGAAUAACCUAAUUUUCAUCCAAACGCAAAAUUGAUCUAAUCCUCGCUUAUACCUCAAUUUAUACCUAUCCCUGGAAUAGCCACUUUUUCCUUAUCCCCGAACCAAACGAUACCUAAGAGUGUUCUAUUCUACUAUGAGAAAAGAGUGUUGACACAAUAAAGCUAGCUAUUAAGAAUGUUCUAUUAACUAUUAACCUUUACAACUGUUCUAUUAUGGCAUAAAAGUGUUUUAUUCUACUAUGACAAAAGAGUGUUGACAAGUAUAAAGCUAAUAGAGUGUUCUUUUAACCUUUACAACUGUUCUAUUAUGCAAUAAAAGUGUUCUAUUCUACUAUGACAAAAAUUUGUUCACAACCAUAAAGCUAUUAAGAAUAUUCUAUUCACCUUUACAACUGUUCUAUUAAGCCUUAAGAGUGUUUUAUUCUACUAUGACAAAGGAGUGUGACAAUCAUAAAGCUAGCUAUUAAGAGUGUUCUAUUUAACCUUUACAACUGUUCUAUUAUGGCAUAAAACUGUUAUAAAGCCUAAAACUGAUAGCAGAUUCCAUUAAGCUUUAAGAAUAUUUUAUUAAGUCAUAAGAGGGUAAGAUUGGAAUGCAUACAUGUUCGCAACUGCAAAUCUGAUAAAAGUAUUCUAUUAUGCUCUAAGAGUGUUUUAUUCUACUAUGACAAAAGAGCGUUAACAACCAUAAAGCUAUUCAGAUUGUUCUAUUAACCUUUACAAUUAUUCUAUUAUGGCAUAAAGCUGUUAUAAAGCCUACAACUGAUAGCAGUGUUUAGUGAAACUUUAAGAAUAUUCUAUUAAGUCAUAAGAGGGUAAGAUUACAAAUGCAUACAUGUUCGCAACUAUAAACCUGAUAAAAGUAUUCUAUUAAGUCCUAGAAAUGUUCUACUAUGACAAAAGAGUGUUCACAAUCAUAAAGCUAAUAAUAGUGUUCUAUUAAGCUGUAAGAGUGUUCUUUUAUGCUAUAAGAGUGUCAGAUUGUCAAGCAUAUAUGUUCGCAAACACAAAUUCUAUAAAAGUGUUCUACUAAGAGUGUUCUUAUAAGCUCUAAGA